Molecule: RNA transcript, 2704 nt
Organism: Manacus vitellinus (golden-collared manakin)
Lineage: Eukaryota; Metazoa; Chordata; Aves; Passeriformes; Pipridae
Gene: RELL1
Gene name: RELT like 1
Exons: 7
Source: RefSeq, a predicted model, not a curated record
UUUACAGACAACUACUUUGACAACUAAAACUGAUGGCAAUGAUGGCAAGACUGAACACCUAGAGUAUAUUGCCUUUGCUUUGGUUCCUGUUUUCUUCAUCAUGGGCCUUUUGGGGAUCCUUAUCUGCCAUGUCCUUAAGAAAAAAGGUUAUCGUUGUACAACGGAGGCUGAAGAAGUAGAAGAAGAAAAACUUGAUGAAAAAAUAGAAAUGAAUGAAACUAUACAUGAGAAUAGUGACACUGUGGGACAAAUAGUUAACUACAUCAUGAAAAAUGAAGCAAAUGCUGAUGUGUUAAAGGCCAUGGUAGCAGAUAGCAGUGUCUUUGAACCUGAAAGCCCUUUAUCUCCUACCUCUCCUGAGAGUCCAAUGAGUCCAGGGACUCCUUUGUCACCCGGUGCUGUUCCGUUCAAGCACAACUGCAAAGCCCAUCACUUCCAUACUGUUGGAGGAGUGGUAGAAAAGGAUGUUUGUACUCGUUGUAGUCACAAACGAUGGCAUCUUAUAAAGCCAGCUCACAAAUCUAAAGAGAACAGAAGAAGUCGUAUUGGAGAAGUUACAGUCCUUUCUGUGGGAAGAUUUCGAGUCACAAAAGUGGAGCACAAAUCAAAUUCCAAAGAACGGAAGAGCUUGAUGUCUGUUACUGGCGUGGAGAGUGUCAAUGGUGACAUGCCUGCCACGCCUGUGAAACAAGAAGUGAGCGAAGCACCUGCCACGCCAGUGAAACAGGAAAUGCAGGAGAGGAGAAGCUCAGAGAGGAGAAGCUCAGAGUAAACUGCAGGUGGAACUUUUAGAAGAAGCUUGUCUGUGAGCACUUUGGAGAAAACUGAAAACUCCCAGGAGAUGCAUACUAUUUAAGGAAAUGUAUUUAUGGCUCCUGCAGCAUUUUACAGGUUCUGUGAUGGCAUUCAUGCAAGGUUGAACACUUAAUGGGUUUUGACCAGUAAAAUCAGUAAGAUUUAGACACUUAAAUACUGUUGAGCUGUGUGGACAUCAUACCAAGUGGCUUCAUCUUGGAAAGAAAGCAGUUUUUGGACAGGAAAGGUUCCUUAUUAAGCUAAGGCAGCAUAUUUCAACCCUUAGAUAAGGAUAUGGAAUAUUUGGCGUGAAAAAAUUUAUGGCAUAUAUACUAAAUUGCUUCAGAGUGGCUUUGUUGGACUGAGGGUAGCUGUUUUCAUUGGCACCAAAAACUUAAGCCAGUGUCACUCCCUUCAUAUUUUAAGUGUGACUUACUGCUAAAAAUACCAUGGUAUUUUGAUGUUAAUUAUUUGUAUCUACUUAUGAUCUCUGCUUUGUCCUAUUACUUGUUUUGGGGAGACAAAUCUCUGUAAUACUUAGCAAACUUUUCUAUGUAAUAGAAACUGAAAAAUAACAUUUGUUCUGAGUGCCUAAGAAUGUAAGCUCUAAUGUAAUGCAUUUUAGUAGAGAUUGCACUAUAUUCUGAGAACUGUAACUUAAUCUGCUUUAUGAACUCAAUGAAAAUCAGCGUAUGUUUUUGAAAUUGAUUUAUUUUAAAUACCUUCAAUCUUUUUAAUCCAAGUGCUCUAAACUGUUUCUCCUUCAUAUCUGAGAAUUGUGUUCUUCAUCAAUUCAUACAGUGUUAACAGUCAGUGUGUACAAAAUUAAUCUUGCUUGUGUAUUAGAUUCUCUUGUGUCUUCUCAGGAAACAUUAAGUUUUUUCACUCUUGGUGAAAGCAUAUGCUGCUGAUGGUCUUCCUUUUACUUGUAUCCCCAAGAUAUUGAUUGGGCCUAUUCAACGAUGCUAUAUUUGCCAAAAACCCACACCACUGCCCACCAAAACUUUGAAAAUAAUGUGUGUUUGUUUGUGUGUUUUGGUUUUGGUUUUUUUUUUUUUAAUUGAUGUUUUUAGAGAUAAUCGUCUGUCCUUGAGAACCCAAAAUAAUUGUUUGGCUAGGACCAGAACCCGAGUGUUCAGCAUCCCUGCUCCCCUUAAUUUAAACUUGGCUUAUGAAAUCUCUUCAGUAUUUAAGUACAACAUAAACACCAAGCUCACCUUAUAGGCAUACGUUAAACUUCACUUGAUUAUUAGUGUGAAGAACUAAUAUUUCUAGAAGAUGUAAUUAGUAUUGAUUAUAGUAGUUAGUUUUCAGUUUCCAAGAGAUUGAUAGCUAUGAGUAUAAAAUGUUGCUGGGAAAAGGGAAUAUUGGGCAAAACCAAGCAGUUUCAAAUAAUUUUCAGAAAGGAUUUACACAAUUACAGACUGUUCCAAAAACUUUUUUAAAAAAAGGGUGAUUUAUUUUGAUACUGUAUUUUGAUACAUGAUGGGUUAGUACUGCAAAUAAAUUUGUCAAAAGGAUGGAAGAAAGUUUAAAUAGAAAUAUGUAUUUUUUUACUUAUUAUAAAAGUAGUUUCUAUUUUGAUUCCAUUGAAAAUAUGUAGAAUAAAGGGAAUGGGAAGAUGUUGGAUAUGUAAAACACUUACCUGUAUAAAAUGGUUAACUAAGGUAUUAUCAGAUCUGAUAUGUUCAAGAAUUGAAUUUAUGCAUUGCUUCUUGAGUAAGAGAGGAUUUAGAAACUGUGCCUAUUUCACUGCCUUUAACACUACAGUGCUAUUUUAUAGGGGUAUGGAUAUUGCUAUAUUAGUUUUUACCUUUCUUAAAUUUGCAUAUCAAAUGUAUUUUAACAAAAUAGUUUAUAUACAACUUUUAUACUACCAAGCAGUAAAUAAAAAAAUAUUGAUUCUUAA